RNAcentral lists this ribosomal RNA (254 nucleotides) under uncultured bacterium. RNAcentral describes it as "partial 16S ribosomal RNA". It matches the Rfam family "Bacterial small subunit ribosomal RNA", at positions 524 to 776 of the family's 1533-position model. The record is from RNAcentral.
UACGGGGGGAGCAAGCGUUGUUCGGAUUUACUGGGCGUAAAGGGCGCGUAGGCGGUCGUGACAAGUCACUUGUGAAAUCUCCGGGCUUAACUCGGAACGGUCAAGUGAUACUGUCGGACUAGAGUACAGAAGGGGCAACUGGAAUUCUCGGUGUAGCGGUGAAAUGCGUAGAUAUCGAGAGGAACACCUGCGGCGAAGGCGGGUUGCUGGGCUGAUACUGACGCUGAGGCACGAAAGCGUGGGGAGCAAACAGG